Molecule: unclassified non-coding RNA, 185 nt
Filed under: uncultured Glomeraceae
Lineage: Eukaryota; Fungi; Glomeromycota; Glomeromycetes; Glomerales; Glomeraceae
Description: sequence contains ITS2
Source: RNAcentral
UUAAAUAAAAUCGGUGUUGUUGCUGCCUUUCGUGGUAACGCAUCGGAAUUGAGUAGUCUUACCUUCGGUUAAGUGACUUAAAAUUUUAUGUGAUUUUUAAACAUAUUUAAACAAUUUACUUAUGUUUGAAUCAAUUGUGAUUAGGUUCGGUCAUCCUCAUGAUUCCGCGCCUAUAAUUUUUCAUU